RNAcentral lists this ribosomal RNA (496 nucleotides) under uncultured bacterium. RNAcentral describes it as "partial 16S ribosomal RNA". It matches the Rfam family "Bacterial small subunit ribosomal RNA", at positions 29 to 507 of the family's 1533-position model. The record is from RNAcentral.
AUGAACGCUGGCGGCGUGCCUAAUACAUGCCAGUCGAGCGAACAGACGAGGAGCUUGCUCCUCUGACGUUAGCGGCGGACGGGUGAGUAACACGUGGAUAACCUACCUAUAAGACUGGGAUAACUUCGGGAAACCGGAGCUAAUACCGGAUAAUAUAUUGAACCGCAUGGUUCAAUAGUGAAAGACGGUUUUGCUGUCACUUAUAGAUGGAUCCGCGCCGCAUUAGCUAGUUGGUAAGGUAACGGCUUACCGAGGCAACGAUGCGUAGCCGACCUGAGAGGGUGAUCGGCCACACUGGAACUGAGACACGGUCCAGACUCCUACGGGAGGCAGCAGUAGGGAAUCUUCCGCAAUGGGCGAAAGCCUGACGGAGCAACGCCGCGUGAGUGAUGAAGGUCUUCGGAUCGUAAAACUCUGUUAUUAGGGAAGAACAAAUGUGUAAGUAACUAUGCACGUCUUGACGGUACCUAAUCAGAAAGCCACGGCUAACUACGUG